GCCGGGCAUGGUGGCGCAUGCCUGUAAUCCCAGCUACUCAGGAGGCUGAGGCAGGAGAAUUGCUUGAACCCAGGAGGUGGAGGUUGCAGUGAGCCAAGAUCGCGCCACUGCACUCCAGCCUCGGUGACAGAGCGAGACUCCGUCUCAA
Molecule: non-coding RNA, 148 nt
Filed under: Chlorocebus sabaeus (green monkey)
Lineage: Eukaryota; Metazoa; Chordata; Mammalia; Primates; Cercopithecidae
Source: Rfam by way of RNAcentral